RNAcentral lists this ribosomal RNA (479 nucleotides) under uncultured bacterium. RNAcentral's name for it is "partial 16S ribosomal RNA". It matches the Rfam family "Bacterial small subunit ribosomal RNA", at positions 28 to 507 of the family's 1533-position model. The record is from RNAcentral.
GACGAACGCUGGCGGCGCGCUUAACACAUGCAAGUCGAGCGAUGAAAUUUCGACAGAUCCCUUCGGGGUGUAGAUGAAAUGGAUUAGCGGCGGACGGGUGAGUAACACGUGAGUAACCUGCUUUUGACAUUGGGAUAGCCUCGGGAAACUGUGAUUAAUACCAAAUGAUACUAACUGAUUACAUGAUCAAUUAGUAAAAGAAAUUCGGUCAAAGAUGGACUCCUGGCUGAUUAGCUAGUUGGGGAGGUAACGGCCCACCAGAGCGACGGUCAGUAGCCGGCCUGUGAGAGUGAGCGGCCACAUUGGAACUGAGACACGGUCCAAACUCCUACGCGAGGGAGCAGUGGGGAAUAUUGCACAAUGGGGGAAACCAUGAUGGUGCGCCGACGGGUAAGCGAAGAAGGCCUUCGGGUCGUAAAGCUCUUUUAUGAGGGAAGAUAAUGACGGUACCUAAAGAGAAAGCCCCGGCUAACUACGUG